Molecule: ribosomal RNA, 468 nt
Filed under: uncultured bacterium
Lineage: Bacteria
Description: partial 16S ribosomal RNA
Rfam family: Bacterial small subunit ribosomal RNA
Source: RNAcentral
GACGAACGCUGGCGGCGUGCUUAACACAUGCAAGUCGAACGGAAAGGCCCUGCUUUUGUGGGGUGCUCGAGUGGCGAACGGGUGAGUAACACGUGAGUAACCUGCCCUUGACUUUGGGAUAACUUCAGGAAACUGGGGCUAAUACCGGAUAGGAGCUCCUGCUGCAUGGUGGGGGUUGGAAAGUUUCGGCGGUUGGGGAUGGACUCGCGGCUUAUCAGCUUGUUGGUGGGGUAGUGGCUUACCAAGGCUUUGACGGGUAGCCGGCCUGAGAGGGUGACCGGCCACAUUGGGACUGAGAGACGGCCCAGACUCCUACGGGAGGCAGCAGUGGGAAAUAUUGCACAAUGGGCGGAAGCCUGAUGCAGCAGCGCCGCGUGCGGGAUGACGGCCUUCGGGUUGUAAACCGCUUUCGCCUGUGACGAAGCGUGAGUGACGGUAAUGGGUAAAGAAGCACCGGCUAACUACGUG